RNAcentral lists this ribosomal RNA (253 nucleotides) under uncultured bacterium. RNAcentral describes it as "partial 16S ribosomal RNA". It matches the Rfam family "Bacterial small subunit ribosomal RNA", at positions 524 to 776 of the family's 1533-position model. The record is from RNAcentral.
GACGAACCGUGCAAACGUUAUUCGGAAUCACUGGGCAUAAAGGGCGCGUAGGCGGCUUUCUAAGUCAGGGGUGAAAUCCGGCAGCUCAACUGUCGCAGUGCCUUUGAUACUGGAGAGCUCGAGGGAGGUAGGGGUCUGUGGAACUUCCGGUGGAGCGGUGAAAUGCGUUGAUAUCGGAAGGAACGCUGGUGGCGAAAGCGACGGACUGGAUCUCUUCUGACGCUGAGGCGCGAAAGCCAGGGGAGCAAACGGG